GAUGAACGCUGACAGAAUGCUUAACACAUGCAAGUCAACUUGAAUUUGGGUUUUUAACUUAGGUUUGGGUGGCGGACGGGUGAGUAACGCGUAAAGAACUUGCCUCACAGGUAGGGACAACAUUUGGAAACGAAUGCUAAUACCUAAUAUUAUGAUAAUAGGGCAUCCUAUAAUUAUGAAAGCUAUAAGCGCUGUGAGAGAGCUUUGCGUCCCAUUAGCUAGUUGGAGAGGUAGCGGCUCACCAAGGCGAUGAUGGGUAGCCGGCCUGAGAGGGUGAUCGGCCACAAGGGGACUGAGACACGGCCCUUACUCCUACGGGAGGCAGCAGUGGGGAAUAUUGGACAAUGGACCAAGAGUCUGAUCCAGCAAUUCUGUGUGCACGAUGAAGUUUUUCGGAAUGUAAAGUGCUUUCAGUUGGGAAGAAAGAAAUGACGGUACCAACAGAAGAAGUGACGGCUAAAUACGUGCCAGCAGCCGCGGUAAUACGUAUGUCACGAGCGUUAUCCGGAUUUAUUGGGCGUAAAGCGCGUCUAGGUGGUUAUGUAAGUCUGAUGUGAAAAUGCAGGGCUCAACUCUGUAUUGCGUUGGAAACUGUAUAACUAGAGUACUGGAGAGGUAAGCGGAACUACAAGUGUAGAGGUGAAAUUUGUAGAUAUUUGUAGGAAUGCCGAUGGGGAAGCCAGCUUACUGGACAGAUACUGACGCUGAAGCGCGAAAGCGUGGGUAGCAAACAGG
Molecule: ribosomal RNA, 735 nt
Filed under: uncultured Fusobacterium sp.
Lineage: Bacteria; Fusobacteriati; Fusobacteriota; Fusobacteriia; Fusobacteriales; Fusobacteriaceae
Description: bacterial SSU rRNA
Rfam family: Bacterial small subunit ribosomal RNA
Source: RNAcentral